This 200-nucleotide unclassified non-coding RNA is filed under the name soil metagenome. Its description in RNAcentral is "partial contains internal transcribed spacer 2 and large subunit ribosomal RNA". The record is from RNAcentral.
GGACCGGCUCGGCUGAAAUAAACGAGCGGACCCGUACUUUUGAAAUACAGCGACGGCUUGACUCGGCGUAAUAACUCUUAUCUCGCUGAGGACGUUUAGCACCUUUUCAAUUGUAUUUGUGGCUGCUACUAGCGCGAAUAGUAAAACAUUCACCUUAAGCUUUAGACCUCAAAUCAGGCAGGACUACCCGCUGAACUUAA